CGGGGUCUAGCUCAUUGGUAGAGCGCUCGCCUUAAAUGUGUGAGGCACUGGGUUUGAUCCUCAGCACCACAU
Molecule: transfer RNA, 72 nt
Filed under: Ictidomys tridecemlineatus (thirteen-lined ground squirrel)
Lineage: Eukaryota; Metazoa; Chordata; Mammalia; Rodentia; Sciuridae
Description: Spermophilus tridecemlineatus (thirteen-lined ground squirrel) tRNA
Rfam family: tRNA
About the family: Transfer RNA (tRNA) molecules are approximately 80 nucleotides in length. Their secondary structure includes four short double-helical elements and three loops (D, anti-codon, and T loops).
Source: Rfam by way of RNAcentral